This 304-nucleotide ribosomal RNA is filed under the name uncultured bacterium. RNAcentral describes it as "partial 16S ribosomal RNA". It matches the Rfam family "Bacterial small subunit ribosomal RNA", at positions 506 to 807 of the family's 1533-position model. The record is from RNAcentral.
CAGCAGCAGCCGCGGUAAUACGGAGGGAGCUAGCGUUGUUCGGAAUUACUGGGCGUAAAGCGCACGUAGGCGGCUUUGUAAGUUAGAGGUGAAAGCCUGGAGCUCAACUCCAGAAUUGCCUUUAAGACUGCAUCGCUUGAAUCCGAGAGAGGUGAGUGGAAUUCCGAGUGUAGAGGUGAAAUUCGUAGAUAUUCGGAAGAACACCAGUGGCGAAGGCGGCUCACUGGCUCGGUAUUGACGCUGAGGUGCGAAAGCGUGGGGAGCAAACAGGAUUAGAUACCCCAGUAGUCCCUGUCUCUUAUAC